AACGAACGCUGGCGGCAUGCCUAACACAUGCAAGUCGAACGAGACCUUCGGGUCUAGUGGCGCACGGGUGCGUAACGCGUGGGAAUCUGCCCUUGGGUUCGGAAUAACUCAGAGAAAUUUGAGCUAAUACCGGAUAAUGUCUUCGGACCAAAGAUUUAUCGCCUUUAGAUGGGCCCGCGUAAGAUUAGCUAGUUGGUGGGUAAAGGCCUACCAAGGCGACGAUCUUUAGCUGGUCUGAGAGGAUGAUCAGCCACACUGGGACUGAGACACGGCCCAGACUCCUACGGGAGGCAGUAGUGGGGAAUAUUGGACAAUGGGCGAAAGCCUGAUCCAGCAAUGCCGCGUGAGUGAUGAAGGCCUUAGGGUUGUAAAGCUCUUUUACCCGAGAUGAUAAUGACAGUAUCGGGAGAAUAAGCUCCGGCGUAACUCCGUGCCAGCAG
Molecule: ribosomal RNA, 440 nt
Filed under: uncultured bacterium
Lineage: Bacteria
Description: bacterial SSU rRNA
Rfam family: Bacterial small subunit ribosomal RNA
Source: RNAcentral